Chlorocebus sabaeus (green monkey) is the source of this 92-nucleotide ribosomal RNA. The record is from Ensembl. NCBI's taxonomy places the organism in Eukaryota, Metazoa, Chordata, Mammalia, Primates, Cercopithecidae.
GUCUACGGCCAUACCACCCUUAACAUGCCCGAUCUUGUCUGAUCUUGGAAACUAAGCAAGGUUGGGUCUGGUUGGUACCUGAAUGGGAGACA